UUAAGGCAACAGACUAAGAAGGGAGUUACAGUGUUGGCUAAGGUGACUGACUCAGACUAUCAAGAUGAAAUCAGUCGACUACUCCACGAUGCAGCUGGGUCAGAGGUUCAUUGUGAUGACUCAGGCUACGCAAGGGCCGUGGAAUGGACGUGCAGCUGUACUUCUAAAUUCCAAUGGGACAUCAGACUGGGGAGGAUUAUGACCGGGAAAUUCAUACCCAACUGGAGCCAAGACUCUAGGCACUGAUGCCAGACAAAGAACUCGUGGUGGAAUCUUGACUUUUCAAUUCAUUUCAUCUAUAAAUUCUAUUUAACUUAA
RNAcentral lists this long non-coding RNA (318 nucleotides) under Homo sapiens (human). Its description in RNAcentral is "HSALNT0368753". The record is from RNAcentral. Lineage: Eukaryota; Metazoa; Chordata; Mammalia; Primates; Hominidae.